This 468-nucleotide ribosomal RNA is filed under the name uncultured bacterium. RNAcentral describes it as "partial 16S ribosomal RNA". It matches the Rfam family "Bacterial small subunit ribosomal RNA", at positions 28 to 507 of the family's 1533-position model. The record is from RNAcentral.
GACGAACGCUGGCGGCGUGCUUAACACAUGCAAGUCGAACGGAAAGGCCCUGCUUUUGUGGGGUGCUCGAGUGGCGAACGGGUGAGUAACACGUGAGUAACCUUCCCUUUACUUUGGGAUAACUUCAGGAAACUGGGGCUAAUACCUGAUAGGAGCUCCUGCUGCAUGGUGGGGGUUGGAAAGUUUCGGCGGUUGGGGAUGGACUCGCGGCUUAUCAGCUUGUUGGUGGGGUAGUGGCUUACCAAGGCUUUGACGGGUAGCCGGCCUGAGAGGGUGACCGGCCACAUUGGGACUGAGAUACGGCGCAGACUCCUACGGGAGGCAGCAGUGGGGAAUAUUGCCCAAUGGGCGGAAGCCUGAUGCAGCAACGCCGCGUGCGGGAUGACGGCCUUCGGGUUGUAAACCGCUUUCGCCUGUGACGAAGCGUGAGUGACGGUAAUGGGUAAAGAAGCACCGGCUAACUACGUG